AUUGAACGCUGGCGGCAUGCCUAACACAUGCAAGUCGAACGCUACUUGAGGGGCAACUCUUAAGUGGAGUGGCGGACGGGUGAGUAAUACGUAGGAAUCUGCCUUAGAGUGGGGGAUAACCUGUCGAAAGACGGGCUAAUACCGCAUAACCUCUACGGAGCAAAGGAGGCUAGCAAUAGCUUUCGCUUUAAGAUGAGCCUACGUCGGAUUAGCUAGUUGGUAGGGUAAAGGCCUACCAAGGCAACGAUCCGUAGCUGGUCUGAGAGGACGAUCAGCCACACUGGAACUGAGACACGGUCCAGAAUCCUACGGGAGGCAGCAGUGGGGAAUAUUGGACAAUGGGGGAAACCCUGAUCCAGCAAUGCCGCGUGUGCGAUGAAGGCCUGCGGGUUGUAAAGCACUUUCGGUGGGGAAGAAAUACUCAAAUUUAAUACAUUUGAGAGCUGACAUUACCCAAAGAAGAAGCACCGGCAAACUCUGUGCCAGCCGCCGCGGUAA
This 498-nucleotide ribosomal RNA is filed under the name uncultured bacterium. Its description in RNAcentral is "partial 16S ribosomal RNA". It matches the Rfam family "Bacterial small subunit ribosomal RNA", at positions 30 to 523 of the family's 1533-position model. The record is from RNAcentral.